This 496-nucleotide ribosomal RNA is filed under the name uncultured bacterium. RNAcentral describes it as "bacterial SSU rRNA". It matches the Rfam family "Bacterial small subunit ribosomal RNA", at positions 8 to 507 of the family's 1533-position model. The record is from RNAcentral.
AGAGUUUGAUCAUGGCUCAGGAUGAACGCUAGCGGCAGGCCUAAUACAUGCAAGUCGAACGCUCAGUAGCAAUACUGGGAGUGGCGCACGGGUGCGUAACGCGUACACAAUCUACCUCUAAGCGGGGGACACCUCCUGGAAACGGGGAUUAAUACCGCAUAAUAUGCCGAAGUCGCAUGACUUUGGUAUUAAAGCAGCAAUGCACUUAGAGAUGAGUGUGCGUCCCAUUAGGUAGUUGGUGAGGUAACGGCUCACCAAGCCUAUGAUGGGUAGCCGGUCUGAGAGGAUGGUCGGCCACACGGGCACUGAGACACGGGCCCGACUCCUACGGGAGGCAGCAGUAAGGAAUAUUGGUCAAUGGUGGAAACACUGAACCAGCCAUGCCGCGUGGAGGAAUAAGGUCCUACGGAUUGUAAACUCCUUUUGACGAGGAAGAAAAUGUUAGAUUUAUCUAAUUUUGACGGUACUUGUAGAAUAAGCACCGGCUAACUCCGUG